This 225-nucleotide ribosomal RNA is filed under the name uncultured Pantoea sp. RNAcentral's name for it is "partial 16S ribosomal RNA". It matches the Rfam family "Bacterial small subunit ribosomal RNA", at positions 568 to 792 of the family's 1533-position model. The record is from RNAcentral. Lineage: Bacteria; Pseudomonadati; Pseudomonadota; Gammaproteobacteria; Enterobacterales; Erwiniaceae.
CACGCAGGCGGUCUGUUAAGUCAGAUGUGAAAUCCCCGGGCUUAACCUGGGAACUGCAUUUGAAACUGGCAGGCUUGAGUCUCGUAGAGGGGGGUAGAAUUCCAGGUGUAGCGGUGAAAUGCGUAGAGAUCUGGAGGAAUACCGGUGGCGAAGGCGGCCCCCUGGACGAAGACUGACGCUCAGGUGCGAAAGCGUGGGGAGCAAACAGGAUUAGAUACCCCCGUA